Small nucleolar RNA from Ancylostoma ceylanicum, 128 nucleotides. It matches the Rfam family "Nematode snoRNA ceN39". The record is from Rfam. NCBI's taxonomy places the organism in Eukaryota, Metazoa, Nematoda, Chromadorea, Rhabditida, Ancylostomatidae.
UUGGCGGAUAGGAACCAGGCAGUGCAUGUGUGUUACUUGGGCCGAAAACCGCCGAAAUAACCUAGAUGUUUUAAAGGUCGUAUGUGUCAUUUCAUGUGGCAUGUAUAUCACCGAAAUAUCGCACAGCU